CCUACGGGGGGCAGCAGUGAGGAAUAUUGGUCAAUGGGCGCGAGCCUGAACCAGCCAAGUAGCGUGAAGGAUGACUGCCCUACGGGUUGUAAACUUCUUUUAUAAAGGAAUAAAGUGAGGCACGUGUGCCUUUUUGUAUGUACUUUAUGAAUAAGGAUCGGCUAACUCCGUGCCAGCAGCCGCGGUAAUACGGAGGAUCCGAGCGUUAUCCGGAUUUAUUGGGUGUAAAGGGAGCGUAGGCGGGACUGCAAGUUGGGUGUCAAAUCUACCGGCUCAACCGGUAGCCGCACUCAAAACUGCAGUUCUUGAGUGAAGUAGAGGCAGGCGGAAUUCCUAGUGUAGCGGUGAAAUGCGUAGAUAUUAGGAGGAACACCGAUUGCGAAGGCAGCUUACUAAACUGCCACUGACAUUGAUGCUCGAAAGUGUGGGUAUCAAACAGGAUUAGAUACCCCUGUAGUC
Molecule: ribosomal RNA, 459 nt
Filed under: uncultured bacterium
Lineage: Bacteria
Description: partial 16S ribosomal RNA
Rfam family: Bacterial small subunit ribosomal RNA
Source: RNAcentral